This is a long non-coding RNA of Oxyura jamaicensis (ruddy duck), 816 nucleotides long. RefSeq lists it as uncharacterized. The record is from RefSeq and is a predicted model, not a curated record. NCBI's taxonomy places the organism in Eukaryota, Metazoa, Chordata, Aves, Anseriformes, Anatidae. The transcript is spliced from 2 exons.
CUUUAAGAGGUGGUGGUUCUCUCUGUGUGUACCUGGCCAUGCUGGGCAUUGGGAUGUUGCAUCUUGUAUCAGGGUUGUGCUGGCUGAGCAAAGCCUGGGCUAGGCUGUCAGCCCUCGUGCCACUCUGAGAAGCCAGAAGAACACGCCAAUGGAAAUUACAGCCCUUCAGAAGCCAUCCCCCAGCACCUCCCUCCUGGCUAUGCUGAGGCUGCUUAUGGGAAUGCCCCGGGACAGCACAGCACAGCAGGCAGAACCCCUGCUUCCUGGAAGAGGAUCAGCAACACCUCCCCUAAAAACAGAGCUGGCUGCUCUGGGAGGAGGCACAAUGCCUGAGGGCCCGUGGGCAUCAGGAUAUGUGUCCAGGUUCAUAAACAGCCUAAUCCCUCCACCUUGUGUUUCCCUGAACAACCUUGACACAGACACAAUCUUCCUCUCAAUGGGGUCAUGCUGUCAUACCCUGCCUUACAGAGGAUUUCUCCUUGCUUGCGGGUUUAGUCUGUGGUAUCCUCUUGGGAGGACCUAAGCAUGGGUAUAGCUGGGGAUCCAUCCUCCUCUGAUGGCGUGUUAUUUCACUGUGCUUUCUGGAGAUAUAUUUUCACUUUUUUUUCCUCCCAGACUGUCCAGUAUAUAAUUAAUGUUGCUUUACAUGGUAAAGAGAAAGCAGAGCUAAAACUGUAAUAUAUUUUUCUUGUUCAAUGGUAAAUAUAUAUAUAUAUUAAUCAAAGUGUACGUCUGCAAUCUUAUAGAGCAUAGUCUCUCUAAAAGAUUUUAUGGUUAUUUAAGAGGAAUGUGGGCUGUAAAGAAAUGUAAGUUUAU